RNAcentral lists this long non-coding RNA (518 nucleotides) under Androctonus crassicauda. Lineage: Eukaryota; Metazoa; Arthropoda; Arachnida; Scorpiones; Buthidae. The record is from RNAcentral.
AAAUACUGGUUGGUGAAAUGCGCUGGAGGUGUGCAAAUACUUAUGGCAUUCUUGUAUUUGAUUUUUCCAUUAUCUAUGUAAAUUAAAAUGAAGAAAAGAAAUACUUCAAUGCUCUUUUUAUAAAUGGUUGACUACUGCCAAAAAUGCUGCUCUUACAAAUUUGUCGACAUAGGCUCAGGCCUUAUCAACUUAGGCGAUAAUACAGCAUUGAAAUAUCCAAUAGUUUGGUACCACUUUGGUUGUGAUUACAACAGAUUAUCAGAAGUUUUUUCUGUAUUCUGUUUUGAUCCAUAUGGGUAUAAUAAUAUUCUGUUUAAUAUUAUUACACUAAUAGUAUACUAACUUUAGUAUAUUUAUUCAGAUAUUAGCUUGUAAUUACUGAUGAGGGCUUGGUAGAGCUGAAAGUGCUUUAGUUAAUAAAACUGUUAUAGUAUUAGUGGAUUUAUUUUGCUAUAAUUCUGAGAAUACUACUUUCUCUGCUUAAAGUGCUAAAAAAAGGUCCAAUUAAUAGAUUGAGC